This 339-nucleotide ribosomal RNA is filed under the name uncultured Prevotella sp. RNAcentral's name for it is "bacterial SSU rRNA". It matches the Rfam family "Bacterial small subunit ribosomal RNA", at positions 1 to 339 of the family's 1533-position model. Lineage: Bacteria; Pseudomonadati; Bacteroidota; Bacteroidia; Bacteroidales; Prevotellaceae. The record is from RNAcentral.
UGAGUUUGAUCCUGGCUCAGGAUGAACGCUAGCUACAGGCUUAAUACAUGCAAGUCGAGGGGCAGCAUACAGAUAGCUUGCUAUCAGUGAUGGCGACCGGCGCACGGGUGAGUAACGCGUAUCCAACCUUCCCGUAGUAGGGCACAGCCCGGCGAAAGUCGGAUUAAUUCCCUAUGUUCUCCAAUGCAGACAUCUAAGUUGGAGCAAAGGUUUACCGCUAUGGGAUGGGGAUGCGUCUGAUUAGGUUGUCGGCGGGGUAACGGCCCACCGAGCCCGCGAUCAGUAGGGGUUCUGAGAGGAAGGUCCCCCACAUUGGAACUGAGACACGGUCCAAACUCC